GGGGAUAUAGCUCAGAUGGGAGAGCGAUGCGUUUGUAACGUAGGUCAUGGGUUCAAGUCCCAUUGUCCCCA
RNAcentral lists this transfer RNA (71 nucleotides) under Lachnospiraceae bacterium. RNAcentral's name for it is "tRNA-Thr". It matches the Rfam family "tRNA". From Rfam's summary of the family: Transfer RNA (tRNA) molecules are approximately 80 nucleotides in length. Their secondary structure includes four short double-helical elements and three loops (D, anti-codon, and T loops). Lineage: Bacteria; Bacillati; Bacillota; Clostridia; Lachnospirales; Lachnospiraceae. The record is from RNAcentral.